This 439-nucleotide ribosomal RNA is filed under the name uncultured bacterium. RNAcentral describes it as "partial 16S ribosomal RNA". It matches the Rfam family "Bacterial small subunit ribosomal RNA", at positions 339 to 795 of the family's 1533-position model. The record is from RNAcentral.
CUACGGGCGGCACCAGUGAGGAAUAUUGCACAAUGGGGGGAACCCUGAUGCAGCAACGCCGCGUGGAGGAUGACGCAUUUCGGUGUGUAAACUCCUUUUAUAUGUCAAGAAAAUGACGGUAGCAUAUGAAUAAGCACCGGCUAACUCCGUGCCAGCAGCCGCGGUAAUACGGAGGGUGCAAACGUUACUCGGAAUCACUGGGCGUAAAGGACGCGUAGGCGGGUUGGAAAGUCAGGUGUGAAAUCCUACAGCUUAACUGUAGAACUGCACUUGAAACUUCUAAUCUAGAGUAUGGGAGGGGGAGAUGGAAUUAGUGGUGUAGGGGUAAAAUCCGUAGAUAUCACUAGGAAUACCUAAAGCGAAGGCGAUCUCCUGGAACAUUACUGACGCUAAGGCGUGAAAGCGUGGGGAGCAAACAGGAUUAGAUACCCGGGUAGUC